AGUGAACGCUGGCGGUAGGCCUAACACAUGCCAGUCGAACGGCAGCACAGUAAGAGCUUGCUCUUACGGGUGGCGAGUGGCGGACGGGUGAGGAAUACAUCGGAAUCUACUUUUUCGUGGGGGAUAACGUAGGGAAACUUACGCUAAUACCGCAUACGACCUACGGGUGAAAGCAGGGGAGCUUCGGACCUUGCGCGAUUGAAUGAGCCGAUGUCGGAUUAGCUAGUUGGCGGGGUAAAGGCCCACCAAGGCGACGAUCCGUAGCUGGUCUGAGAGGAUGAUCAGCCACACUGGAACUGAGACACGGUCCAGACUCCUACGGGAGGCAGCAGUGGGGAAUAUUGGACAAUGGGCGCAAGCCUGAUCCAGCCAUACCGCGUGGGUGAAGAAGGCCUUCGGGUUGUAAAGCCCUUUUGUUGGGAAAGAAAAGCAGCAGGUUAAUACCCCGCUGUUCUGACGGUACCCAAAGAAUAAGCGCCGGCUAACCUCGUG
RNAcentral lists this ribosomal RNA (492 nucleotides) under uncultured bacterium. Its description in RNAcentral is "partial 16S ribosomal RNA". It matches the Rfam family "Bacterial small subunit ribosomal RNA", at positions 29 to 507 of the family's 1533-position model. The record is from RNAcentral.